UAGAGAAUCUGCCCUGUACUGGGGGACAACAGAGGGAAACUUCUGCUAAUACCCCAUAUGAGCGUACCUGCGAUGGUAUUCUUGAAAGUUCCGGCGGUACAGGAUGAGUCUGCAUCUGAUUAGCUAGUUGGUGGUGUAAUGGACUACCAAGGCGACGAUCAGUAGCUGGUUUGAGAGGAUGAUCAGCCACAAUGGGACUGAGACACGGCCCAUACUCCUACGGGAGGCAGCAG
RNAcentral lists this ribosomal RNA (233 nucleotides) under uncultured bacterium. RNAcentral describes it as "partial 16S ribosomal RNA". It matches the Rfam family "Bacterial small subunit ribosomal RNA", at positions 118 to 354 of the family's 1533-position model. The record is from RNAcentral.